GAUGAAACGCUGGCGGUAAUGCUUAAACACAUGCAAAGUCGAAACGGAAUCUUUAGGGAUUUAGUGGCGGACGGGUGAGUAACGCGUGAGAAUCUGGCUUCAGGUCGGGGACAACAGUUGGAAAACGACUGCUAAUACCGGAUAUGCCGAGAGGUGAAAGGUUAACUGCCUGAAGAUGAGCUCGCGUCUGAUUAGCUAGUAGGUGGGGUAAAGAGCCUACCUAGGCGACGAUCAGUAGCUGGUCUGAGAGGAUGAUCAGCCACACUGGACUGAGACACGGCCCAGACUCCUACGGGAGGCAGCAGUGGGAGUUUCCGCAAUGGCGAAAGCCUGACGGAGCAAUACCGCGUGAGGGA
RNAcentral lists this ribosomal RNA (356 nucleotides) under uncultured bacterium. Its description in RNAcentral is "bacterial SSU rRNA". It matches the Rfam family "Bacterial small subunit ribosomal RNA", at positions 32 to 408 of the family's 1533-position model. The record is from RNAcentral.